This is a long non-coding RNA of Hevea brasiliensis (rubber tree), 331 nucleotides long. RefSeq lists it as uncharacterized. Lineage: Eukaryota; Viridiplantae; Streptophyta; Magnoliopsida; Malpighiales; Euphorbiaceae. The record is from RefSeq and is a predicted model, not a curated record. The transcript is spliced from 2 exons.
GAAUUAGGCUGUCUAUUGCCUCUUUAGAGUUUUAUCUUAACUUAGUACUAAUAAAUUUAUAAUUUAAUUAUUAGGUGAUCGAGGUCGGCUAUUUUUCUGCAUCCAGCAGCCACAAUAGUCAUCGGUGUACUGCCACAGGAGGAGUUAUUUUACAGAGCAACCUGUUUUCUUCCUCGCAGGUUUAACGUAGAUUAUUUAAUUAUUUUACUAUCUUUUCAAAAUUUAAAAUCUAGAACUCCGCAUGUGUUAGUAAUAGUGUGGCCCUUCAUAGAAAUUGUGUUAAUUUAAAUUUUUGAAAUUAAUAAAUAAAGAUUUGUAUGGUAUUUAAACA